UUAAGUGGUAUGUGACUCUUAUUUGGUGCUUCUUUGCUUCUAGCCUUUUGUAUAUUACAUCACUUUCAGUUCUAUUUUAUGGGAUUGUAUGCAAUGAGACUAAUUACCUUUGACAUAAGGAGCUAACAAAUACUUAUAACCAUCUGAUGUGAAAUUUGAUAGGUUGGAUGUGUUACAAAGAUGAUAAAAUUUCUGUUGAAGUUUGAAUUUGGUCAGUAGAAUAAAUGAAACCAUCCAAUUUUACGUCUAAUGGUCAAGAUUAAUUGUGACUACCUUGUUGCAAAAGUAAAUGAUCUCAUUGUAUAUUUUUCCAUGUUUUAUUUAGUUUUUUCCUUUUUC
Molecule: long non-coding RNA, 339 nt
Filed under: Amborella trichopoda
Lineage: Eukaryota; Viridiplantae; Streptophyta; Magnoliopsida; Amborellales; Amborellaceae
Description: long non-coding RNA (ATRI_LNC004125)
Source: RNAcentral